AGAACCACCGCCAGGUACACAAGUCACUGGACAAGGUGGGAAGGCAUCUUACUCAAUCAAUGGACCUUAUUCUAAAGCGGGAAGGGCACUGAGAGUAAGUAAACUGAAAAAGGUUGCUACUUGCCAGAGUCGUAAGGGAUGAAAUAUGUUUUCUCAGUCGCUGCUCAGGGGUUUGUGGCUGAGGCCCCAAAAACAAAAGACAGACUAAAAAGAGAAAAGCAUAUGAAUUCAUUUAAGUUAAAAUUUAGGCCAGGCGCAGUAGCUGACACCUAUAAUCCCAGCACUUUGAGAGGCCAAGGUGGGAGGGUCGCUUGAGCCCAGGAGUUCAAGACCAACUUGGGCAUCACAGGGAGACUCCACCUCUACAAAAAAUAAAAUAUAGCCAGCCCUGGUGGUGCGUGCCUGUGGUCCAAGCUAUAUGCGAGGCUGAGGCAGGAGGAUGGUUUGAGCCCAGGAGUCGGGAGGUCAAGGCUGCAGUGAACUGUGUUUGUGCCACUGCACUCCAAGCCUGGGUGGCAGAGCAAGACCUGUCUCCAAACAAAUUUUUUAAAAAAGUUUUACCUGACAUAGGAGCCUUUGGCAAUGUCCCAGAGGAACAGGGAAACCUGUGUGUUUUCAUUCUUAGGUUUGAUGAAGAGAGUACAGUGCUGUGAAAGUAUGAUUGGACAAGGGGCUGUGAUCUAAUGGCAAUAAGCCGGAGGGAACUUAGCAAGGCUUGUUUGUUCAGAUUCUUCACGGCAUUUCUGUGUCUUCUGCUCCUUUCCUCGAGGUAUAGGGAGGGUAUCUCUCAAAUGAGGAGUCUACGACCUGCUUCAGGGGAAGGCCAACAACUUCUUGGAUUUUAUGACCUGCUUCAGGGGAGAAGGACAAGGGAAGUACAGCGCCUACAACAAUGCAAAGGCUAGAAGGAAUGAAGGCAGGGACAUGGAAUGGAGAAUUUCCAUUUCACGGAUCCACAUAAACUGAAAAGGAACAAGAGUCGGUGAGACCAAAGAGCACUGAAGGCCAUGAACCACCACCAUUCUCAACCCCUGGGCCAGGCAAGAAAAGCCACGGUUCCUGGAAGGGAUGACGACAGGCUUACUGAAUUAUUUUCAUCCAUGCCCUUUUAAAAUAUGGUUGGUAGAAAUUUGCCAUUUGAGACUAGAAUCCCAUUCGGAAUCAUGUAAGUCUCUUUUGACUCCACGAGGACAUCUUUCACCCAGUUUUGGGAAAUCUGAGGAAUGGAUUCUUCUACAGACUGAUAAAAUAUCACAAGGUC
This 1261-nucleotide long non-coding RNA is filed under the name Homo sapiens (human). RNAcentral's name for it is "HSALNT0294291". The record is from RNAcentral. Lineage: Eukaryota; Metazoa; Chordata; Mammalia; Primates; Hominidae.